RNAcentral lists this ribosomal RNA (503 nucleotides) under uncultured bacterium. Its description in RNAcentral is "bacterial SSU rRNA". It matches the Rfam family "Bacterial small subunit ribosomal RNA", at positions 31 to 518 of the family's 1533-position model. The record is from RNAcentral.
GAACGCUGGCGGCGUGCUAACACAUGCAAGUCGCGCGUGAAAGGACUUCGGUCCGAGUAAAGCGGCGCACGGGUGAGUAACGCGUGGAUGAUCUACCCAUGAGUUGGGAAUAACGGCUGGAAACGGUCGCUAAUACCGAAUACGCUCCGAUUUCAACUUCGGGGGAAAGGUGGCCUCUGCUUGCAAGCUACUGCUCAUGGAUGAGUCCGCGUCCCAUUAGCUAGUUGGUGGGGUAACGGCCCACCAAGGCGACGAUGGGUAGCCGGUCUGAGAGGAUGACCGGCCACACUGGGACUGGAACACGGCCCAGACUCCUACGGGAGGCAGCAGUGGGGAAUAUUGCGCAAUGGGCGAAAGCCUGACGCAGCGACGCCGCGUGAAGGGGAUGAAGGUCCUCGGAUCGUAAACCUCUGUCAGGAGGGAAGAACCGCCACGGUGCUAAUCAGCCGUGGUCUGACGGUACCUCCAAAGGAAGCACCGGCUAACUCCGUGCCAGCCGCAGC